UCUGGGGUCCCUGUCAGACACUACUAUCACUGGCACUCCAUGUAACCUAACUAUCUCCCAAAUAUACAUUAUCGCUACCUUGUCCAAUGGGUCAAUCAUCUUGAUGGCCAAGAAGUGGAAAGACUUGAUAAGUCAGUUAACAAUCACCCAAAUAGCAUCAUGUCCCGAGCAUUCUCUUUUUAUCUCGUUCUACCAAAAUCGGGAUCGCAUACUUUGAUAUAUCUUAGUGCUUCCAGGAUGCAUGACAAACUUUGAGUUAUAGUGCUCAGUCAUGAUGUCCCUUUUCAACUCACUGUCACAUGGAACACAUACCUUAUCUUGAAAUUUAAGCAACCCAUCGGUAGAGAGUCGAAAUUCUGAAUUUACUUUCUGUUCUGCAUCUUUCUUAAGAGUUGCUAGGAUGGAAUCGGCGGAUUGGACUUCUUUUCUGGUCAAUUUCAGA
RNAcentral lists this long non-coding RNA (442 nucleotides) under Carica papaya (papaya). RNAcentral's name for it is "long non-coding RNA (CPAP_LNC000530)". The record is from RNAcentral. Lineage: Eukaryota; Viridiplantae; Streptophyta; Magnoliopsida; Brassicales; Caricaceae.